This 560-nucleotide long non-coding RNA is filed under the name Rattus norvegicus (Norway rat). RNAcentral's name for it is "long non-coding RNA NONRATT004334". Lineage: Eukaryota; Metazoa; Chordata; Mammalia; Rodentia; Muridae. The record is from RNAcentral.
CUACUGGCAGAGGAGGAGCAGCAGCUGCUGCAGAAGCUGGAGGAGGAGGAGCUGGAGGUUCUGCCCCGCCUGCGGGAAGGAGCUGCACGGCUAGGCCAGCAAAGCACGCAGCUCGCGGCCCUCGUCUCAGAGCUUGAGAGCCGCUGCCAGCUGCCAGCACUGGGUUUAUUGCAGGCACGCAGCAGGCCCUGUACCUGCCUGCCACUGGGCUGCCACUCGACUUGCAGUACGUCCCCAAGUCCCAGCCACUUGCAAACCUUCUGCCUCUCCCACUGACCAUGACCAUGCUGCCGCCUAAUGAGCCACACUGUGCUCUAUGGAGGGAGGGUGGCGAACAGACAGACAUACGGAGAGACAGAGAGACAGAAGGUUCAGAAUGAGAAAGCAUUUGUUCACAACAGACUCAAGUCUGCAGAGAGCAUGCCCUCCCCAUCUCUCCUGUACACUCCACAGCAGCUAAGGCAGGCACCCCAGAAAAGUGCUCUUGGGUCUCCAUGGAGAUGGGCACAGCGGGGAUGCUCCAGUUCCUUGAAUAAAAGGGUGUAGUGUUGGGUAUCAGC